RNAcentral lists this transfer RNA (75 nucleotides) under Caudoviricetes sp. RNAcentral's name for it is "tRNA-Trp". It matches the Rfam family "tRNA". Rfam says of the family: Transfer RNA (tRNA) molecules are approximately 80 nucleotides in length. Their secondary structure includes four short double-helical elements and three loops (D, anti-codon, and T loops). The record is from RNAcentral. Lineage: Duplodnaviria; Heunggongvirae; Uroviricota; Caudoviricetes.
GUACCUAUAGUUUAAUUGGAAAAACGGCGGUCUCCAAAACCGUAUAUCUAUGUUCGAUUCGUAGUAGGUAUGCCA